RNAcentral lists this ribosomal RNA (492 nucleotides) under uncultured bacterium. RNAcentral describes it as "partial 16S ribosomal RNA". It matches the Rfam family "Bacterial small subunit ribosomal RNA", at positions 29 to 507 of the family's 1533-position model. The record is from RNAcentral.
AGUGAACGCUGGCGGUAGGCCUAACACAUGCAAGUCGAACGGCAGCACAGUAAGAGCUUGCUCUUACGGGUGGCGAGUGGCGGACGGGUGAGGAAUACAUCGGAAUCUACUUUUUCGUGGGGGAUAACGUAGGGAAACUUACGCUAAUACCGCAUACGACCUACGGGUGAAAGCAGGGGAUCUUCGGACCUUGCGCGAUUGAAUGCGCCGAUGUCGGAUUAGCUAGUUGGCGGGGUAAAGGCCCACCAAGGCGGCGAUCCGUAGCUGGUCUGAGAGGAGGAUCAGCGACACUGGAACGGAGACACGGUCCAGGCUCCUACGGGAGGCAGCAGUGGGGAAUAUUAGACAAUGGGCGCAAGCCUGAUCCAGCCAUACCGCGUGGGUGAAGAAGGCCUUCGGGUUGUGAAGCCCGUUUGUUGGGAAAGAAAAGCAGCAGGUUAAUACCCCGCUGUUCUGACGGUACCCAAAGAAGAAGCACCGGCUAACUUCGUG